UGUGCCGUCCGCCCGUCCGUCUGCCCGCAGGCAUUGCCCGAGCCAGCCGAGCCGCCAGAGCCGCGGGCCGCGGGGGUGUCGCGGGCCCAACCCCAGGAUGCUCCCCUGCGCCUCCUGCCUACCCGGGUCUCUACUGCUCUGGGCGCUGCUACUGUUGCUCUUGGGAUCAGCUUCUCCUCAGGAUUCUGAAGAGCCCGACAGCUACACGGAAUGCACAGAUGGCUAUGAGUGGGACCCAGACAGCCAGCACUGCCGGGGUGUGUGUGCCUGGGGGACCAAACACCCCCAGGAACCCGGAAAGGGAUUGAUAGCUGCUUUCCAAGGGACAGCCCCACCUCCAAGAACUGCCGUGGGAGCCCAGCAGCCCGUUCUAUGCCCAGCUCUGCUACACAGAGGCCAGCUCUGGCUCUCUGGAGGCCAGUUGAGCUAGGGGUGGCCUCAUCCUCUCCCAGAAACCCAGGAAACCUUGUCCCUACCCCUCAGAGGAGCUGGAUCCUGUACGCCUUCUCUGAACCACUCUCCUGUCCCAGCUCUUUGUCUCAUCACAACCUGGGAGGGUAGCGUCCCCAGGGGUGGGUAAGGAGGCCCCCCAUCUUGGGCUGAGCUAGGGCUAGGGCCGUGGGGAGGGAUAGAGACCCACUUGCAGGCCGAGAAUGAGGGCAACAGUGGGAACAGCUGCCCCAUCUCCAGCCUUGGCCAACCCUGGGGAGGGGUCCUGAGCAGGCAGACUUAGCUUGUUGAGCAGAGUGGGAAGGCUUUGCUGGGGCCACACAUCUCAGAGAAGGCCGAGCUGGGUUCCUGCCUCCGCUCC
RNAcentral lists this long non-coding RNA (811 nucleotides) under Homo sapiens (human). RNAcentral describes it as "non-protein coding lnc-CFL1-5:1". Lineage: Eukaryota; Metazoa; Chordata; Mammalia; Primates; Hominidae. The record is from RNAcentral.